Molecule: transfer RNA, 67 nt
Filed under: Marmota monax (woodchuck)
Lineage: Eukaryota; Metazoa; Chordata; Mammalia; Rodentia; Sciuridae
Description: tRNA.Ala
Source: RNAcentral
GGCUGGGGCUCAAGGGUAGAGCACUUGCCUAGCAUGUGUGAGGCACUGGGUUCAAUUCUCAGCACCA